This 464-nucleotide long non-coding RNA is filed under the name Lathyrus oleraceus (garden pea). RNAcentral's name for it is "Pisum sativum (pea) long non-coding RNA (PSAT_LNC010852)". Lineage: Eukaryota; Viridiplantae; Streptophyta; Magnoliopsida; Fabales; Fabaceae. The record is from RNAcentral.
UAGGCGUGCCACAUUUUUUUUAAAGAUACUAGAUAUUCCUUAGUUGCUUUAACAAACGAGAGGAAAAGCUUCAGGGGACACGACUUCGAAUUUGAACAAUUACAUUUUGGCGCCUUUUACUAUUUUUUAAAUUUUUUGUCUAUGACCUAUUGAGAGGAAAAGUUUAGAUCAACCCCAACCCCCUUUCAAAUCCCAACAUUACAAUUACAUUUUGGCGCCUUUUCCUAUUUUUUAAAUUUUUUGUCUAUGACCUAUUGAGGGGAAAACUACUACUUUUUUGCAGUAGUUCUCCAAUGUAGGAAACUACUACUUUUGGCUAAAUGAAAAACGGAAAGAAAAGGGAAGAUAAAGCUCUGAACGGAACGGUUAACAAACUGCGGUAAAAGAAAAUAAUGGUUGCUGAAGAAAAAUAACGGAAAACCAAAUUGCUGUGGAAAAAUAAAUGCAGAGAAAUAGCUUGAGAG